Molecule: transfer RNA, 74 nt
Filed under: Planctomycetota bacterium
Lineage: Bacteria; Pseudomonadati; Planctomycetota
Description: tRNA-Arg
Rfam family: tRNA
About the family: Transfer RNA (tRNA) molecules are approximately 80 nucleotides in length.
Source: RNAcentral
GCGCCCGUAGCUCAGUUGGAUAGAGCAACGGAUUUCUAAUCCGUCGGUCAGGGGUUCGAAUCCCUUCGGGCGUA